RNAcentral lists this transfer RNA (74 nucleotides) under Chloroflexota bacterium. RNAcentral describes it as "Chloroflexi bacterium tRNA-His". It matches the Rfam family "tRNA". Rfam says of the family: Transfer RNA (tRNA) molecules are approximately 80 nucleotides in length. Their secondary structure includes four short double-helical elements and three loops (D, anti-codon, and T loops). Lineage: Bacteria; Bacillati; Chloroflexota. The record is from RNAcentral.
GCGGCUGUAGCUCAAUUGGUUAGAGCACCUGGUUGUGGCCCAGGAGGUUGCGGGUUCGAGUCCCGUCAGUCGCC